GUGUUCGAUUAAAGGAGAGAUGGUGUGUAUCUCCCCUGACAGGAUCAGGAACAGCCUUCCGGCUUCCCUAUUAACACGUGCAGUUUGGGACUUGUAUCAGAAACGAGAAAAUCCUUACCAUUGUUGU
Molecule: small nuclear RNA, 127 nt
Organism: Cucurbita moschata (crookneck pumpkin)
Lineage: Eukaryota; Viridiplantae; Streptophyta; Magnoliopsida; Cucurbitales; Cucurbitaceae
Source: RefSeq, a predicted model, not a curated record